CACAUACCUUCCAUUGAAUUCAGGUACAUUUAAAUACAAUACUGGUGUAUUAACCACCUACCUAAUAAUAAGGAAAUAACUUCCUACUAAAAACUGAACAGAGAAAUUGGAGGAAUUACCUCUUUACUGCAAUCAACUGCUACAAACUGAAAUAAUCUACUUCUAAUUUCUUUAAACUUUCCAUGUGUAAAUCGUUGGUAGACUAAAGGGGUGCUAACAGAGUAGGUGUCUGGCCUUGUACUCUUUUCUGUACCAUCUUGGUACCAUUAUAAUAAAAUCUUUACCUAUAAAAAAUGGCUUUUGAAGGUUUGGUAGUUUGCAUCACAGCUUCUAUUUUGCCUUAUCUAUAGUGAACCCGAAUUUAUAUUCUCUUUCUUGCUUCUAUUCACUCCAUCUUAUGUACCUAAUCGCAUAAGAAACCUUUAUUAGCUAGACAGUUCGCUUAGUAAAAAUGGAAGUCUUGUACUUUGGAGUAUACGUAAUCCUUUUUGUGUGGCCUUCUUGUUUUGGGUUUGGUUGGAUGCAAAGGCAGUUGGCAUUCUUAGAUUUUACUGAGGCUUUCUUCUUAGAUUUCUAGAUACUGAAUACCGUACACACAUUCUGACUUUAUUCUUUGUUGUUAAUGGAUUUGAACAUAAUACCAGGGCAAUAGAAUUUUGCUAACCUGGCCACGACCCAAAAACAAUGAAAAAUGUAGGAAGCACAUUGCAUAUUCUACAAGUUAAGCAUAGAUCAAAGACAUUGACUGUCAGUAAAUCAUAGAAAGCAAAAUGUAGGAAAAUACUGUUCAAUGCAAUAGACAUCUUACAGCAGACCAUAAACCUCAAGAUCCAGUAAAAAGUUCUUACUUGCAUGUUAUGUUUACAUGAGCAAUUAGCAAAGCUUCUUAACAAGAAUCACUGUUUAAGAGUUAUGAUUUAUAUAUUAACAUAUUCAGCCUAAUUUAAGAGUCAUGAUUUAUAUUUUCUUACUAUCUUUGGUGUCUAGAAUGCGUCAAACCUAAUCUGAUCUAAUUGCUAAAUAUGCAGUUGCUGGUGGAUUGGACUCGAGGAAAGAAUCUUCUUUUCUCCAGUGCUGCUCCUUCUGUAACAGAACUUAGAGGGCCGUAUGAUGUAGCGAAUAUGGCAUCUUAGCUUGGUCUCCAACUGGAACGUGCUAAAGCAGCGCUUUCCAAAAAUUGUAGGACUGUUAUAACUAACGCGUUAAGGAAAAAGUGUUACCACAAGGACACAAUUAAGGUUGAACCGAUAACGUCAGGCUUCAAGGAACCUGAAUUUGAUGAUUGGCUUAAGUGGGAUCCUAUCUCUGGUGGUGAGGGUGAUUUGCUGUUAGAAGACAUCAAAAAAUCUUUUUCUGUCCAAAAAUUUAUCAAAACCUGUGAAACGCAUUGAGUUUAGUUCCAUUGUGAAUAACCUGCCUGCACAUGGACUCCAGAUUAAAGAUUUGCUAUCUUCGACAGUGUCGGAGCAGGUGCCUAUGGAUACUAUUGCUCUUGCAAGUUCGAGGGUAUCACAAUAACCACGUGGUGUCGAUCUUCUGCCUGAAGAAUGCUCAACUGUAGAAGAUGAUCCGCAUAAAAGCCAACAAGGUUCUCUUUCUGAAGAAGUUAGGGUGCCAUGGUUGUCCAUUGCUCCUCUAAAUGAUGCUGGUAAUUUGGGAAAAGAAAAGGAGAACCAUAGGAUUUAUAAUGAGGAUAUACAAUUUACAGUGAAGUUGGACAUAAAAGAUACAUCUGGGACCAAAAUGCAU
Lycium ferocissimum is the source of this 1749-nucleotide long non-coding RNA. RefSeq lists it as uncharacterized. The record is from RefSeq and is a predicted model, not a curated record. Lineage: Eukaryota; Viridiplantae; Streptophyta; Magnoliopsida; Solanales; Solanaceae. The transcript has 2 exons.